AUUGAACGCUGGCGGCAGGCCUAACACAUGCAAGUCGAACGAGUGGCGGACGGGUGAGUAAUGUCUGGGCAACUGCCUGAUGGAGGGGGUUAACUACUGGAAACGGUAGCUAAUACCGCCUACCAUCGGCUGUGCCCAGUUGGGAUUAGCUAGUAGGUGGGGUAACGGCUCACCUAGGCGACGAUCCCUAGCUGGUCUGAGAGGAUGACCAGCCAAACUGGAACGGAGACACGGUCCAGACUCCUACGGGAGGCAGCAGUGGGAAAUAUUGCACAAUGGGCGAAAGCCUGAUGCAGCAAUGCCGGGUGUAUGAAGAGGGCCUUCGGGUUGUAAAGUACUUUAAGCGGGGAGGCGUUACCCGCAGAAGAAGCACCGGCUAACUCCGUGCCAGCCGCCGCGGUAAUUC
This 406-nucleotide ribosomal RNA is filed under the name uncultured bacterium. RNAcentral describes it as "partial 16S ribosomal RNA". It matches the Rfam family "Bacterial small subunit ribosomal RNA", at positions 30 to 526 of the family's 1533-position model. The record is from RNAcentral.